AGUGAACGCUGGCGGUAGGCCUAACACAUGCAAGUCGAACGGCAGCACAGUAAGAGCUUGCUCUUACGGGUGGCGAGUGGCGGACGGGUGAGGAAUACAUCGGAAUCUACUUUUUCGUGGGGGAUAACGUAGGGAAACUUACGCUAAUACCGCAUACGACCUACGGGUGAAAGCAGGGGAUCUUCGGACCUUGCGCGAUUGAAUGAGCCGAUGUCGGAUUAGCUAGUUGGCGGGGUAAAGGCCCACCAAGGCGACGAUCCGUAGCUGGUCUGAGAGGAUGAUCAGCCACACUGGAACUGAGACACGGUCCAGACUCCUACGGGAGGCAGCAGUGGGGAAUAUUGGGCAACGGGCGCAAGCCUGAUCCAGCCAUACCGCGUGGGUGAAGAAGGCCUUCGGGUUGUAAAGCCCUUUUGUUGGGAAAGAAAAGCAGCAGGUUAAUACCCCGCUGUUCUGACGGUACCCAAAGAAUAAGCACCGGCUAACUUCGUG
RNAcentral lists this ribosomal RNA (492 nucleotides) under uncultured bacterium. RNAcentral's name for it is "partial 16S ribosomal RNA". It matches the Rfam family "Bacterial small subunit ribosomal RNA", at positions 29 to 507 of the family's 1533-position model. The record is from RNAcentral.